RNAcentral lists this ribosomal RNA (253 nucleotides) under uncultured bacterium. RNAcentral describes it as "partial 16S ribosomal RNA". It matches the Rfam family "Bacterial small subunit ribosomal RNA", at positions 524 to 776 of the family's 1533-position model. The record is from RNAcentral.
UACGUAGGCAGCAAGCGUUGUUCGGAGUUACUGGGCGUAAAGGGCGCGUAGGCGGUCUUGCAAGUCCUGUGUGAAAUCCCUCGGCUCAACUGAGGAACUGCACAGGAAACUGCUUGGCUUGAGUUCGGGAGAGGGAAGCGGAAUUCCGGGUGUAGCGGUGAAAUGCGUAGAUAUCCGGAGGAACACCGGUGGCGAAGGCGGGUCUCUGGGCAGUAACUGACGCUGAGGAGCGAAAGCGUGGGGAGCGAACAGG